This 456-nucleotide ribosomal RNA is filed under the name uncultured bacterium. RNAcentral describes it as "bacterial SSU rRNA". It matches the Rfam family "Bacterial small subunit ribosomal RNA", at positions 329 to 802 of the family's 1533-position model. The record is from RNAcentral.
GUACUUACUCCUACGGGAGGCAGCAGUGGGGAAUAUUGGACAAUGGGCGAAAGCCUGAUCCAGCCAUGCCGCGUGAGUGAUGAAGGCCCUAGGGUUGUAAAGCUCUUUUACCUGGGAAGAUAAUGACGGUACCAGGAGAAUAAGCCCCGGCUAACUUCGUGCCAGCAGCCGCGGUAAUACGAAGGGGGCUAGCGUUGUUCGGAAUCACUGGGCGUAAAGAGCACGUAGGCGGAUCUUUAAGUCAGGGGUGAAAUCCCGAGGCUCAACCUCGGAACUGCCUUUGAUACUGGGGAUCUCGAGUCCGGGAGAGGUGAGUGGAACUGCGAGUGUAGAGGUGAAAUUCGUAGAUAUUCGCAAGAACACCAGUGGCGAAGGCGGCUCACUGGCCCGGAACUGACGCUGAGGUGCGAAAGCGUGGGGAGCAAACAGGAUUAGAUACCCCUGUAGUCCAGGCAU